AGUCUGGCUUUGCCAGUCCCACCUGCGAGCGCCUGGCGUGGUACUGAAGCUCUCAGAACUCCAGUCUCCUCCUCUGUUACAUCCAGGCCGGAGUGGCUAGAGGAGCAGAGGAGAUGUCACCAGGACUGUCAUUGGAAAAGAUUAGAGAAGACAUCACACAGCACCUUGGUCCAGGCAUUGCAGAAAUGACUGUCCGACUUUGGAAGGGUCGUCCAGGACCAGACCUUGAGGAAGACAAUCUCUGCUGGGUGCUGCUGAAGGAGAGAGACUAUUUCCUAAUGGGCACAAACAAGGAAGGAUGAGGCGAGACCUGCUGACAGUCAUCUUGUGACCCAGGGGCAAGCCUGCCUAAAAAUCAGACCAACAAGAAGCCAGAAGUGAGAAAUGGAGAUUUCCUUUCCAUCUUGGAUCACACUUCAUCUGAAACUAUACCUACGCUAUUUAAGUAAAUGGGCCAACAAAUUCCUUUUAUUGUUUAAACUAGAUUGAAAAGAAUUUUCCAUUAUUCACAGCAUAAAAUAUUAAUGGAUGCACACAUUAUCUCAAUCCUUCUUCCUUAAAAUUUUGUUUCAAAUACUUGCAUUUUAUCGGGUCAUAUGAAAAUCCCCCUCCUUACCCCCGAAAAGAGCAAAUUAAUCCUGCAGGUCUGUCAACCUUCAGAUCCAGAGAUGACUGUUGUACAAUCCAGAUGACAAAGAACUCCUCUGGAAGUCAAAUCCUUGAUGCCAAGGUCAGGACUCCAAGUUUUCUUCCCUGCUCAUGGCUAAAUGAGGCCAUGCUGAAGAAUACAGGUUCAGUCCUUACAGCAGUUGUGUAGCCUCUGUGAUCAUCACCAAAAAGGCCAAUACAUGUGGGUCACAACUCAGAGAGUGCAGUGGCAUAAAUCAAGACAUCAGUGAUAGCUAAGAAGAAGGCUUUCCUACUCGUAAGGGGAGCGCUUGUCAAAGGGGUCAGUAUUAAUUCAGUCAGACAAACUGGGUUCAAAAAUAUGACCAAUGGCAUGAAUUUGGUUAUGUCACU
Molecule: long non-coding RNA, 1020 nt
Organism: Rhinolophus ferrumequinum (greater horseshoe bat)
Lineage: Eukaryota; Metazoa; Chordata; Mammalia; Chiroptera; Rhinolophidae
Exons: 3
Source: RefSeq, a predicted model, not a curated record